AGCGAACGCUGGCGGCAGGCUUAACACAUGCAAGUCGAGCGGGCACUUCGGUGUCAGCGGCAGGCGGGUGAGUAACACGUGGGAACGUACCCUUCGGUUCGGAAUAACGCUGGGAAACUAGCGCUAAUACCGGAUACGCCCUUUUGGGGAAAGGUUUACUGCCGAAGGAUCGGCCCGCGUCUGAUUAGCUAGUUGGUGGGGUAAUGGCCUACCAAGGCGACGAUCAGUAGCUGGUCUGAGAGGAUGAUCAGCCACACUGGGACUGAGACACGGCCCAGACUCCUACGGGAGGCAGCAGUGGGGAAUAUUGGACAAUGGGCGCAAGCCUGAUCCAGCCAUGCCGCGUGAGUGAUGAAGGCCUUAGGGUUGUAAAGCUCUUUUGUCCGGGACGAUAAUGACGGUACCGGAAGAAUAAGCCCCGGCUAACUUCGUG
Molecule: ribosomal RNA, 433 nt
Filed under: uncultured bacterium
Lineage: Bacteria
Description: partial 16S ribosomal RNA
Rfam family: Bacterial small subunit ribosomal RNA
Source: RNAcentral